AACGAACGUUGGCGGCGCGCCUAACACAUGCAAGUCGCACGAGAAAGGGAGCAAUCCCCGGUACAGUGGCGCACGGGUGAGUAACACGUGGAUAAUCUUCCCUUGGGCGGGGGAUAACCUUCCGAAAGGAGGGCUAAUACCGUAUAAGACCACAGCGAGUUCGCUCGCAGGGGUCAAAGCUGGCCUCUUCAUGAAAGCUAGCAACUAAGGAUGAGUCCGCGUCCCAUACGCUAGUUGGUAGUGUAAAAGACUACCAAGGCGAAGACGGGUAGCUGUGCUGAGAGGAUGAUCAGCCAACCUGGAACUGGGACACGGUCCAGACUCCUACGGGAGGCAGCAGGGGGGAAUCUUGCGCAAUGGGCGAAAGCCUGACGCAGCGACGCCGCGUGGGUGAUGAAGGCCCUCGGGUUGUAAAGCCCUGUGGGGAGGGACGAAUAAGUCGUGGCUAAUAUCCACGAUGAUGACGGUACCUCCUUAGAAAGCACCGGCUAACUCUGUGCCAGCAGCCGCAGUAA
This 515-nucleotide ribosomal RNA is filed under the name uncultured bacterium. RNAcentral's name for it is "partial 16S ribosomal RNA". It matches the Rfam family "Bacterial small subunit ribosomal RNA", at positions 29 to 523 of the family's 1533-position model. The record is from RNAcentral.